CCAGAGAUGGAAAGGUGCCUUCGGGAACCGUGAGACAGGUGCUGCAUGGCUGUCGUCAGCUCGUGUUGUGAAAUGUUGGGUUAAGUCCCGCAACGAGCGCAACCCUUAUCCUUUGUUGCCAGCGGUCCGGCCGGGAACUCAAAGGAGACUGCCAGAGAUAAACUGGAGGAAGGUGGGGAUGACGUCAAGUCAUCAUGGCCCUUACGCCCAGGGCUACACACGUGCUACAAUGGCGCAUACAAAGAGAAGCGACCUCGCGAGAGCAAGCGGACCUCAUAAAGUGCGUCGUAGUCCGGAUUGGAGUCUGCAACUCGACUCCAUGAAGUCGGAAUCGCUAGUAAUCGUGGAUCAG
This 352-nucleotide ribosomal RNA is filed under the name Escherichia coli. Its description in RNAcentral is "bacterial SSU rRNA". It matches the Rfam family "Bacterial small subunit ribosomal RNA", at positions 1000 to 1352 of the family's 1533-position model. The record is from RNAcentral. Lineage: Bacteria; Pseudomonadati; Pseudomonadota; Gammaproteobacteria; Enterobacterales; Enterobacteriaceae.